CUAGAUUUUCGAAGCUCUCUUAGCGCUAAGAUAGUCGUAAGUGGCAUACAUUAACAUUAACUUACGACUAUCUUAGUGCUAUGAGAGCUUCGUAAAUCUAGGCCCAGCAUAAAAGUGGUGAUGUAAG
Molecule: long non-coding RNA, 127 nt
Organism: Haliotis rubra (blacklip abalone)
Lineage: Eukaryota; Metazoa; Mollusca; Gastropoda; Lepetellida; Haliotidae
Exons: 3
Source: RefSeq, a predicted model, not a curated record